AGUGAACGCCGGCGGUAGGCCUAACACAUGCAAGUCGAACGGCAGCACAGUAAGAGCUUGCUCUUACGGGUGGCGAGUGGCGGACGGGUGAGGAAUACAUCGGAAUCUACUUUUUCGUGGGGGAUAACGUAGGGAAACUUACGCUAAUACCGCAUACGACCUACGGGUGAAAGCAGGGGAUCUUCGGACCUUGCGCGAUUGAAUGAGCCGAUGUCGGAUUAGCUAGUUGGCGGGGUAAAGGCCCACCAAGGCGACGAUCCGUAGCUGGUCUGAGAGGAUGAUCAGCCACACUGGGACUGAGACACGGUCCAGACUCCUACGGGAGGCAGCAGUGGGGAAUAUUGGACAAUGGGCGCAAGCCUGAUCCAGCCAUACCGCGUGGGUGAAGAAGGCCUUCGGGUUGUAAAGCCCUUUUGUUGGGAAAGAAAAGCAGCAGGUUAAUACCCCGCUGUUCUGACGGUACCCAAAGAAUAAGCACCGGCUAACUUCGUG
Molecule: ribosomal RNA, 492 nt
Filed under: uncultured bacterium
Lineage: Bacteria
Description: partial 16S ribosomal RNA
Rfam family: Bacterial small subunit ribosomal RNA
Source: RNAcentral